This 227-nucleotide non-coding RNA is filed under the name Orenia sp. RNAcentral describes it as "T-box sequence". It matches the Rfam family "T-box leader". Rfam says of the family: Uncharged tRNA acts as the effector for transcription antitermination of genes in the T-box leader family. T-boxes are found upstream of many aminoacyl-tRNA synthetase genes and some amino acid biosynthetic genes usually in Gram-positive bacteria. The record is from RNAcentral. Lineage: Bacteria; Bacillati; Bacillota; Clostridia; Halanaerobiales; Halobacteroidaceae.
GUAAAAGCAGAGAAAGGAAGAGUAAGUAUUUAAACUAUUUACAGAGAGCUGGGCGGAGGUUGAGAACCAGUAAUAGUAAGAAUACUGAAGAUGGUCCUGGAGCUAUAUGGUUGAAAUCUAGUAGGUCAUAUCGGGUUGCUACCGUUAUCAGCUUAAGAGUGGCUAUAUAAUCAGGUUUAUAGCAAUUAGGGUGGUACCGCGACGAAAUUUAAACUCUCGUCCCUAAA